RNAcentral lists this ribosomal RNA (433 nucleotides) under uncultured bacterium. RNAcentral describes it as "partial 16S ribosomal RNA". It matches the Rfam family "Bacterial small subunit ribosomal RNA", at positions 29 to 507 of the family's 1533-position model. The record is from RNAcentral.
AACGAACGCUGGCGGCAUGCCUAACACAUGCAAGUCGAACGAGACCUUCGGGUCUAGUGGCGCACGGGUGCGUAACGCGGGGGAACCUGCCCUUAGGUUCGGAAUAACUCCCCGAAAGGGGUGCUAAUACCGGAUAAUGUCUUCGGACCAAAGAUUUAUCGCCUUUGGAUGGGCCCGCGUUGGAUUAGCUAGUUGGUAGGGUAAAAGCCUACCACGGCGACGAUCCAUAGCUGGUCUGAGAGGAUGAUCAGCCACACUGGGACUGAGACACGGCCCAGACUCCUACGGGAGGCAGGAGUGGGGAAUAUUGGACAGUGGGCGAAAGCCUGAUGCAGCAAGGCCGCGUGAGUGAUGAAGGCCUUAGGGUUGUAAAGCUCUUUUACCCGGGAUGAUAAUGACAGUACCGGGAGAAUAAGCUCCGGCUAACUCCGUG